AGUAUUCCUCCUUCUUUAAUAUGUGGAUGAGUAUGGUUUAGUUUGAUGAUAAUUGAUGGUGAGCGCAUUCUGCAAAUACCAUUACAAUCGUGGAUACGAAUCGUUGAACACAGAAAUUGGCCAACAGCUUGAGAGAUUUUAUCCGGUAUUAUUGUUUAGCAACCAAUGUUAGUGUAAUGUGUACGCAUCAUCGGAAAUUGAUCGACGGCGAUUAUGUCGAUGUGUUUCUCUGUUGAGUACUUGGGUAAAUUUGGGGAGAUGAAAGAGGGAUUGUUGGGUAAAUAGUAGGAGUAUUUAAGAUUAUGAUUUGAUAGACUCCAGGCGAUGUCAAUUUAUUGGCUGUAAGCCUUUAAUGCUGUAGCUGAAUUGAUAUUGAAUUGAUGACUGUAAUGUGUACGCAUCAUCGAAAUUUAUACGAAUAUAUUUGUUGUAUUGA
This is a long non-coding RNA of Salvia miltiorrhiza (redroot sage), 436 nucleotides long. RefSeq lists it as uncharacterized. The transcript has 2 exons. The record is from RefSeq and is a predicted model, not a curated record. Lineage: Eukaryota; Viridiplantae; Streptophyta; Magnoliopsida; Lamiales; Lamiaceae.